UCAAAUCAGAUCGCUAUGUAUCAUCGAUUUAUUGGUGAUUAGGUACCGCUCUUGUUCCCUCCCGAGAAGAAUUUUGUAAAGAGAAGAUUUAUUAAAGGAUUUGAAUAUUAUGUUUUGACUUAGCUAUGAAUAUUGUUUUUUUUAAUAAAAUCUCUAAUUAGUGAUGUUUAUGUCUGGUGAUGGAAAUCGGCCAGGUACAACACACUUGUUGUUAACACAUCCACAUACGGUAUUCUUUGGGAACUGGCAAUGUAUGCAUCCUAUAUUUUUGUAGCAAUCCUUCGCCACCAAGCAUCCACAUCCAACUAUGGGCCCUCUUGCUUCCGCUCCAUCUGUCGAAAACGAACACGAAAAACAAAAAAAGGUUAUUAUCAGGAGAAUAUGUCAAGAAAUAUGGUAUUUCAAUCAUUCGAAUUGUGGGUGAGUAUUCUAACGAAUAAAAUAAUCUAAUUUGUAUUAUACAUGCUUAUAAUGAGAAACAAGCAAGAGAACAAACACGAAAGAGAUUUGAGCGAAACGAUUACAGUGAGAAAUAAGGAAGAGAGCAGCAACCAAGAAAGCUAAAAGUGAAGUGUUCUUCAUUGUUUGUGUGAUGUGAUGAUGAUUUGUGAGUAGGAAGUGUGUGACACCAUAUGUAUUUAUAGGCCAAGAU
This 652-nucleotide long non-coding RNA is filed under the name Linum usitatissimum (flax). RNAcentral's name for it is "long non-coding RNA (LUSI_LNC007096)". The record is from RNAcentral. Lineage: Eukaryota; Viridiplantae; Streptophyta; Magnoliopsida; Malpighiales; Linaceae.